GCUUAGUCACUAAAAUAAAAUAAUGGUAAAUUUGAUCAUGUAUACAUAUGCAGUCAUUUCUCAUAUGCACACUGAUUUUGAGAUCUAAUUUGAUUUAGUGAAGUGUUCUUGGAUAUAUCCCAUGCUUUCUAGGCCAAAUUGGUUUUGUAUGGAUAGUGUUCUAAUAUAUUUUAGUGGUUAUAUUGGUAUAGAGAAGCAACCCAUGAAAUGAGAACUGAGGUUGUGGGUGGCUCUGUAUUUGGCACAACCUCUAGACUACUGCAGUAGUCGUGGACAGACAUUGUACCACGAUCUUAAUGCUUACAGAGUCUUGUUUGAUAAGGUAAAAUUUGCAAUAUGUAAGUUAAGAUUUUCCUUCCAAAACUGAAUGUUUUGUGGUCUUCUAUUCAUUCACUAGCCAUACAGGAUGGGAAUCCUCUGCUCUCCUGCUUUGUCCAGAUGAAGAAUAGUCGAGAUGGCUAAAGUUACAGUACAAACUUAGCUUUCACUCCUCCAGAGUUCUCGAGAACUGGUAUAUAAUUGUGAUUUCUCUAUGAAGUGGUAAUAUUGCCCUACGAAUCUCUCAGUACAUGUGAAGUUGGAUACCAAGGUUACGAAGAUGCUCGACAAAUUACACUUGUAAUUUGCAUGCACAUCUGCACAAUUAGUGUUCUUCUUGAACUACUGUAUUAAGUUAUGGAAUAAACUACUUUGUACAAAUAAGAAAUGAUAUUAUAUAUGCAGCUACGUAAGUUUAACUUUUGGUAAUUUAUCUUCGAUGUUUGGCACGAAGAAUGACUUCAGAAAGUGUAGUUUAAGCUUUAUAACAAUGCUACUAGAUCUUCUAAGUGGCAAGCAUAUAGCCCCAAGCCAUGUGAGUUCAUAAUUCAUUGAAAAGUCCUCUGAUAUUCAAAUGUUCGGGUCAUCUUAUGCUUGCACCCGUUGAAUUCGCAAGAAGAUUUGAAAGUUUAUGAUACUUUCAUACCCGACAAGUUGAACUAUUCUUCUCCACUUGCGUUAUUAAUUCUCUCUUGUAUAUGUUGUAGUGGCAAGCUUUAGCUUAUGCAGCAAACGCAAGGAUAUGUUUUGCUGCAACUGACAGUUCUAGAAACAUACAUUUUGAAAGAUGUGAUUGCGAACGAAAUGCCAGAAAUAGAUCUUCUUUUGGAAGAAGUUGCUGAAUUUGUGGAUGAAUCUCAGUGUAAGAACCCAACUUACCAUAGGUAAUUGUUAACCCUGGACAUACGAGCACUGUACCACCUAUGUAUCUAUUAAUAUUAUUAACGAGGCAAAAUAAAGAAUAAAUUUUGGAGGCUUGAUACAUUUGGUUACAUAAAGAAUAUUACUUUCAUUGUCAUUAAUUAAGAUACAGAAUAACAUAUCAAGGAAUGCUAAGACUUCAUUAAAGAAGGUAAGUUUUCUUCAUGCAUUCAGUUUUUCUUUCAUUUCUAAUAUUCAUGCA
RNAcentral lists this long non-coding RNA (1441 nucleotides) under Olea europaea subsp. europaea. Lineage: Eukaryota; Viridiplantae; Streptophyta; Magnoliopsida; Lamiales; Oleaceae. The record is from RNAcentral.